RNAcentral lists this ribosomal RNA (256 nucleotides) under uncultured bacterium. Its description in RNAcentral is "partial 16S ribosomal RNA". It matches the Rfam family "Bacterial small subunit ribosomal RNA", at positions 521 to 776 of the family's 1533-position model. The record is from RNAcentral.
UAAUACAGAGGUGGCGAGCGUUGUUCGGAUUUACUGGGCGUAAAGGGCGCGUAGGCGGCCCUGCGUGUCGGGUGUGAAAUCUCCGGGCCCAACCCGGAAAGUGCGCCCGAAACUGCGGGGCUCGAGUGCGGGAGGGGAGAUCGGAAUGCAGGGUGUAGCGGUGAAAUGCGUUGAUAUCCUGCAGAACACCGGUGGCGAAGGCGGAUCUCUGGAACGCAACUGACGCUGAGGCGCGAAAGCAGGGGGAGCAAACAGG